AAUGAAUCUAGACAUAUAUAUCUAUCUAGAUUCAUUAACAUCAAUAUGAAUGUGGAAAAUGCUAGAAUGACUUACAUUGUGAAACAGAGGAAGUAUGAAGUAGAUUAAGUCUGAGGAGAAUCAUUGGCACCAUUCCAGUAUAUUCCUUUGAACUGAAUGAGAGCAUCCUUGAGAAUAUAUCCCUUGUCAUGAAUACCAACAAUUGCCAACUGAUGUAGUACUGCUGAGCAUGCAGAUCCACCCCAUAGGGAUUGGAUAUUUCCUGAAUCCAAACUGGUUGCAUUAUAGAGACUGCAUGGACCACUAACAAAUGACCAACUCUAGAUAGGAAUCAGGGCUUUCCUGUACUGGAACUUGUUCUGAAAGCCAAUAUUUAGUCCUUGCUUUGCAUUGAAGUUCAGAGUGAAGAACCUGAUCUCUUAAGUUAUAAAAUUUUUUGAUGGCCAGUUUUGAUAGUGAAUACCCUGAUUUGAAGGUAAGGACUCCAUUCAUCAACAGACAACAUGACAGUGAGGAAUCCUUUACCAUAAAUGAAAAUCUUCUGAUUUUGUGGGCUAAAGGCUGUUCAAUUAAGCCACUGGAUGACCAUUUUGACUCAGCGCAAAGGUUGACCGUUGGAUUUGCCACUGGGAAUUCAUGCUGCCUUGUCCUGGAGAAGGCAUGAUAUCACGCUGUCCCCAUUCCCCAAUGCCUUUUGGCGGUGCUUUCCAGCCCAGAUUGGUCGAUUCUGCACAGUGAGAAGUAAUCAAGUAAAGAUGUGGUGCAGGCCAUGAAAUGUACAAACAGGAAGACAGAUAAAUAUAUUGAGGCAUAAUUGCGUCGAACUCUCAGCUUUUCUGAGAUUAUAUUAAGUAAAUUUUCUCACCUCUUUUGCCGUGGAUAACCUUCUGUGAGUGUCAGAUCAGAAAUCAGUUGUGUUCAGAUGAAAUCUGCUUCCUGUAAACUCAGGCAUGAGACUGUAGCAUAUGCAUUCUCUAGCAAAAGCCUAUUAUUAGCCUUAGAUGGCAGGAUUUUUGCUUAUUUUCUAUGUUUUCUUAUCUCUCUUACGUGUUUCUUUUGUGUUCUCUCUUUUAUAUUAUUCUUGAAUCUUGACUUCUCUUAAAAGUCUGGUAGCAAGCUGGAGUAGCAAUGUGCUGGUACCUUUAUCUUCCA
Molecule: non-coding RNA, 1152 nt
Organism: Oryza sativa Japonica Group (Japanese rice)
Lineage: Eukaryota; Viridiplantae; Streptophyta; Magnoliopsida; Poales; Poaceae
Source: RefSeq, a predicted model, not a curated record